RNAcentral lists this ribosomal RNA (301 nucleotides) under uncultured bacterium. RNAcentral describes it as "partial 16S ribosomal RNA". It matches the Rfam family "Bacterial small subunit ribosomal RNA", at positions 509 to 807 of the family's 1533-position model. The record is from RNAcentral.
CAGUAGCCACGGGAAUACGGAGGGUGCAAGCGUUAAUCGGAAUUACUGGGCGUAAAGCGCACGCAGGCGGUCUGACAAGUCAGAUGUGAAAUCCCCGGGCUUAACCUGGGAACUGCAUUUGAAACUGUCAGGCUGGAGUCUUGUAGAGGGGGGUGGAAUUCCAGGUGUAGCGGUGAAAUGCGUAGAGAUCUGGAGGAAUACCGGUGGCGAAGUCGGCCCCCUGGACAAAGACUGACGCUCAGGUGCGAAAGCGUGGGGAGCAAACAGGAUUAGAUACCCGAGUAGUCCCUGUCUCUUAUAC